AACGAACGCUGGCGGCAGGCUUAACACAUGCAAGUCGAACGCCCCGCAAGGGGAGUGGCAGACGGGUGAGUAACACGUGGGAACGUCCCCCUCGGUCUGGAAUAACUCAGGGAAACUUGAGCUAAUACCGGAUACGUCCGAGAGGAGAAAGAUUUAUUGCCGAGGGAUCGGCCCGCGUCUGAUUAGCUAGUUGGUGAGGUAAUGGCUCACCAAGGCGACGAUCAGUAGCUGGUCUGAGAGGAUGAUCAGCCACACUGGGACUGAGACACGGCCCAGACUCCUACGGGAGGCGGCAGUGGGGAAUAUUGGACAAUGGGCGAAAGCCUGAUCCAGCCAUGCCGCGUGAGUGAUGAAGGCCUUAGGGUUGUAAAGCUCUUUUACCAGGGAAGAUAAUGACUGUACCUGGAGAAUAAGCCCCGGCUAACUUCGUGCCAGCCGCCGCAGUAA
RNAcentral lists this ribosomal RNA (447 nucleotides) under uncultured bacterium. Its description in RNAcentral is "partial 16S ribosomal RNA". It matches the Rfam family "Bacterial small subunit ribosomal RNA", at positions 29 to 523 of the family's 1533-position model. The record is from RNAcentral.